RNAcentral lists this long non-coding RNA (670 nucleotides) under Cricetulus griseus (Chinese hamster). RNAcentral describes it as "lncRNA (ENSCGRG00015040167.1)". The record is from RNAcentral. Lineage: Eukaryota; Metazoa; Chordata; Mammalia; Rodentia; Cricetidae.
CUCUCUGGUUAUUUUCACUUUUUGUUUUGGACAAAAAAGAAGGAGAUGAGAGGAACAUUUUUAAAACGCCAUGUAGAUCGCCUCGUGGUUAUUUUUAUUGUUUUAAAGAUAAUAACCAGAACUGCAGGAGGAUCUCUGUGACUCCCGGUCAGCCUGAGGGACAUAGUGAGACUUUGUUUUAAAGAGGUUAGAACCACGUUGGUUCUUGUAUUUGGAAGGUUUGUUUGAGGGCCUGAAGACUGCUAAGCAGCUAAAAGCACUUGCUGUUCUUCCUGAGGGCUGGACUUCUGUUCCCAACAUCCACAAGGCGGCUCACAGCCACCUGAAAUUUCAGUUCCCCCCUCCUGGCCUCCACCGGCCCUGCACAUGCAUGCGCGCAGGCAUGAGGCAAAACACCCGCACAUACAUACAUACUGGGUUAGCAGCAAACUUAAGCAACUUUUCUCGAAGGAAGAGAGACCUGCCCUGGUCAUUUGAGGAAUAGGAUGGAUGCGGUAUUGUGGACUCUGCUCAGGCUGAGCGGCAGGCAGUUUCUACAGAUGGAGAUACUAGGGUGGCCUAGCUGUUUUAUUCUGCCUCCAGGUCUCUCCUGAAGUUACAUUCAAGAUGGUAUCUAGACUGGGAUCAUGCAAAAGCUUGACAGUGAUGGAAGGACCUGUUUCCAAGCCAU